UACGAAGGGUGCAAACGUUGCUCGGAAUUACUGGGCGUAAAGCGCGCGUAGGCGGAUCUGCAAGUCGGGGGUGAAAUCCCGAGGCUCAACCUCGGAACUGCCUUCGAUACUGCGGGUCUCGAGUCCGGGAGAGGUGAGUGGAAUUCCUAGUGUAGAGGUGAAAUUCGUAGAUAUUAGGAAGAACACCAGUGGCGAAGGCGGCUCACUGGCCCGGUACUGACGCUGAGGCGCGAAAGCGUGGGGAGCAAACAGG
This 253-nucleotide ribosomal RNA is filed under the name uncultured bacterium. RNAcentral describes it as "partial 16S ribosomal RNA". It matches the Rfam family "Bacterial small subunit ribosomal RNA", at positions 524 to 776 of the family's 1533-position model. The record is from RNAcentral.